UGAGUAUGGGCUCUUACACGCUGAUAAAUACUAUUGUUAUCAUCGGAAUCCGAUUACGUUAUGUGACGAGGCAAAGCACAGGUUUGGCUGAUUUCGAUAUCCCCUUGGCCAUCAAAAAAGCAAAUCAUAUAAUAUGUAACCACAAUUAAUUUUUUGAGGAAAUUCUCUUACCUUUUGACAAAGUGGUCAUAUUGAUAUACUGUUCUGCUCGAGAUUUUUCAUGCACAGAUACCAUUCAUGAAUUGAGCGAUUUCACAUUAGGCAACGACUUUGUGGUACUACUAUCAUUUGCAACAAUUGCUGUGUGGUUCUAUUAUCACUGAGAGAUGAUAGUGGGACACUUUUUAAAUAUAAUGUGGGGAAACCAAAAUUACAGGAGGAUUUUGGGAGUUGGAUCUUCAACCAUUGCUCAGAUUGACCAAGCCAAAUUGGACAAACAAAAAUAUAAUCGUGGCAGCAGAGUUGUAAGUCAUUGAAUUUUGGGUCUGGUAAAUACCACCCUGCCCGAAAAAAAGAAAAAAGAAACGGAUGGUAUUAGUGUUAAAUGCUAAGGAGACAACAUUAGUUUUAGCAAUAAAAGGAAAUGUCGUCAAUAGUGAAAUCUA
Long non-coding RNA from Bombus impatiens (common eastern bumble bee), 605 nucleotides. RefSeq lists it as uncharacterized. The record is from RefSeq and is a predicted model, not a curated record. The transcript has 3 exons. NCBI's taxonomy places the organism in Eukaryota, Metazoa, Arthropoda, Insecta, Hymenoptera, Apidae.